Long non-coding RNA from Eriocheir sinensis (Chinese mitten crab), 1055 nucleotides. RefSeq lists it as uncharacterized. Lineage: Eukaryota; Metazoa; Arthropoda; Malacostraca; Decapoda; Varunidae. The record is from RefSeq and is a predicted model, not a curated record. The transcript is spliced from 3 exons.
CCCUUCCCAGCCAUAUCUUGGCGGUAACUUUUCCCUGAGAAUGUCCGUGAGCGUCCGAUUUAACACUGCGUUUGGUCGUCAUGUUGCGGAGCCAUGUGAGGCGGUGAACAUAGUGGAGGAGGCGGCGGAAGACCGCAACAACCCGCCGCCACGCGUUAGGUAACCACCGGUGCCGCCGACCACGCCAUGCUGCCCUGCCUCACGCUGCCUUGACUCCUCAACCAGGACAGGCAGGGAGCUGGCCUGGAGGAGAUGUGUGGCCGAGGAGGACGAUCGGGAUGCUAGGCCGGGGUGAGCCGAGCCCCGCCCCGCCCCGCUGGUGCCAUCACCCUCUCCAGCCCUGACGAGGUGCGUGUCACGCCGGGGUGAGCCGAGCCCCGCCCCGCCCCGCUGGUGCCAUCACCCUCUCCAGCCCUGACGAGGUGCGUGUCACGCCGGGGUGAGCCGAGCCCCGCCCCGCCCCGCUGGUGCCAUCACCCUCUCCAGCCCUGACGAGGUGCGUGUCACGCCGGGGUGAGCCGAGCCCCGCCCCGCCCCGCUGGUGCCAUCACCCUCUCCAGCCCUGACGAGGUGCGUGUCACGCCGGGGUGAGCCGAGCCCCGCCCCGCCCCGCUGGUGCCAUCACCCUCUCCAGCCCUGACGAGGUUUUUGACUGGGAAUUUGGCGUUUUGGACAACUGUGCACCGGGGUGAGCCGAGCCCCGCCCUGCUGGUGCCAUCACCCUUUCCAGCCCUGACGAAGUUUCUUGCCGGGGUUAGCCGAGCCCCGCCCUGCUGGUGCCAUCACCCUCUCCAGCCUUGUCGAAGUUUCUUGCCGGGGUGAGCCGAGCCCCGCCCCGCUGGUGCCAUCACCCUUUCCCUGCUCGUCCCACCGCCAGACCUCAUCCAGCUGCUGCAGAGUAACCCUGCCAAACAGCUAGGAUGGAGAGAAGAUGACGGACGAAACAGGACGUUGAUUGACGGAAGAAAGUGGGAAGUGGAAGGAAUACAAUGAUUUGGAUACAGAUAUUAAGAACUGGGAGCCAGACUUUUUAUGUUGAGGUGAGGAGAAACGUG